RNAcentral lists this ribosomal RNA (245 nucleotides) under uncultured Lactobacillus sp. RNAcentral describes it as "partial 16S ribosomal RNA". It matches the Rfam family "Bacterial small subunit ribosomal RNA", at positions 118 to 355 of the family's 1533-position model. The record is from RNAcentral. Lineage: Bacteria; Bacillati; Bacillota; Bacilli; Lactobacillales; Lactobacillaceae.
UGGGGAACCUGCCCCAUAGUCUGGGAUACCACUUGGAAACAGGUGCUAAUACCGGAUAAGAAAGCGGAUCGCAUGAUCAGCUUUUAAAAGGCGGCGUAAGCUGUCGCUAUGGGAUGGCCCCGCGGUGCAUUAGCUAGUUGGUAAGGUAAAGGCUUACCAAGGCGAUGAUGCAUAGCCUAGUUGAGAGACUGAUCGGCCACAUUGGGACUGAGACACGGCCCAAACUCCUACGGGAGGCAGCAGCC